AACGAACGCUGGCGGCAGGCCUAACACAUGCAAGUCGAGCGGACCUUUCGGGGUCAGCGGCGGACGGGUGAGUAACGCGUGGGAAUAUGCCCUUCUCUACGGAAUAGUCCUGGGAAACUGGGGGUAAUACCGUAUAUGCCCUUUGGGGGAAAGGUUUAUCGGGGAAGGAUUAGCCCGCGUUGGAUUAGGUAGUUGGUGGGGUAAUGGCCUACCAAGCCGACGAUCCAUAGCUGGUUUGAGAGGAUGAUCAGCCACACUGGGACUGAGACACGGCCCAGACUCCGACGGGAGGCAGCAGUGGGGAAUCUUAGACAAUGGGGGCAACCCUGAUCUAGCCAUGCCGCGUGAGUGAUGAAGGCCUUAGGGUUGUAAAGCUCUUUCAGCUGGGAAGAUAAUGACGGUACCAGCAGAAGAAGCCCCGGCUAACUCCGUG
RNAcentral lists this ribosomal RNA (433 nucleotides) under uncultured bacterium. Its description in RNAcentral is "partial 16S ribosomal RNA". It matches the Rfam family "Bacterial small subunit ribosomal RNA", at positions 29 to 507 of the family's 1533-position model. The record is from RNAcentral.